UGGGGAAUAUUGGACAAUGGGCGCAAGCCUGAUCCAGCAAUGCCGCGUGUGUGAAGAAGGCCUUCGGGUUGUAAAGCACUUUUAUCAGGAGCGAAACGCUGUCGGCUAAUACCCGGCGGAACUGACGGUACCUGAGGAAUAAGCACCGGCUAACUUCGUGCCAGCAGCCGCGGUAAUACGAAGGGUGCAAGCGUUAAUCGGAAUUACUGGGCGUAAAGCGUGCGUAGGCGGUUUCUUAAGUCUGCUGUGAAAUCCCCGGGCUCAACCUGGGAAUGGCAGUGGAUACUGGGAGGCUAGAGUGUGUCAGAGGGUGGUGGAAUUCCCGGUGUAGCGGUGAAAUGCGUAGAGAUCGGGAGGAACAUCAGUGGCGAAGGCGGCCACCUGGGACAACACUGACGCUGAGGCACGAAAGCGUGGGGAGCAAACAGGAUUAGAUACCCUGGUAGUCCACGCCCUAAACGAUGCGAACUGGAUGUUGGUCUCAACUCGGAGAUCAGUGUCGAAGCUAACGCGUUAAGUUCGCCGCCUGGGGAGUACGGUCGCAAGACUGAAACUCAAAGGAAUUGACGGGGUCAU
Molecule: ribosomal RNA, 576 nt
Filed under: uncultured bacterium
Lineage: Bacteria
Description: partial 16S ribosomal RNA
Rfam family: Bacterial small subunit ribosomal RNA
Source: RNAcentral